Molecule: ribosomal RNA, 1011 nt
Filed under: Bacillus sp. (in: firmicutes)
Lineage: Bacteria; Bacillati; Bacillota; Bacilli; Caryophanales; Bacillaceae
Description: bacterial SSU rRNA
Source: RNAcentral
GCAAGUCGAGCGGAUGAAAGAGAGCUUGCUCUCUGGAUUCAGCGGCGGACGGGUGAGUAACACGUGGGCAACCUGCCUGUAAGACUGGGAUAACUCCGGGAAACCGGGGCUAAUACCGGAUAACUUCUUUUCCCGCAUGGGGAGAGGUUGAAAGACGGUUAUGCUGUCACUUACAGAUGGGCCCGCGGCGCAUUAGCUAGUUGGUGGGGUAACGGCCUACCAAGGCGACGAUGCGUAGCCGACCUGAGAGGGUGAUCGGCCACACUGGGACUGAGACACGGCCCAGACUCCUACGGGAGGCAGCAGUAGGGAAUCUUCCGCAAUGGACGAAAGUCUGACGGAGCAACGCCGCGUGAGUGACGAAGGCCUUCGGGUCGUAAAACUCUGUUAUCAGGGAAGAACAAGCAUCGUUUAACUGACGGUGCCAUGACGGUACCUGACCAGAAAGCCACGGCUAACUACGUGCCAGCAGCCGCGGUAAUACGUAGGUGGCAAGCGUUGUCCGGAAUUAUUGGGCGUAAAGCGCGCGCAGGCGGCUUCUUAAGUCUGAUGUGAAAGCCCACGGCUCAACCGUGGAGGGUCAUUGGAAACUGGGAGGCUUGAGUGCAGAAGAGGAGAGCGGAAUUCCACGUGUAGCGGUGAAAUGCGUAGAGAUGUGGAGGAACACCAGUGGCGAAGGCGGCUCUCUGGUCUGUAACUGACGCUGAGGCGCGAAAGCGUGGGUAGCGAACAGGAUUAGAUACCCUGGUAGUCCACGCCGUAAACGAUGAGUGCUAAGUGUUAGGGGGUUUCCGCCCCUUAGUGCUGCAGCAAACGCAUUAAGCACUCCGCCUGGGGAGUACGGCCGCAAGGCUGAAACUCARAGGAAUUGACGGGGGCCCGCACAAGCGGUGGAGCAUGUGGUUUAAUUCGAAGCAACGCGAAGAACCUUACCAGGUCUUGACAUCCCGCUGACCGGUCUGGAGACAGAUCUUUCCCUUCGGGGACAGCGGUGACAGGUGGUGCAUGGUU